Molecule: ribosomal RNA, 497 nt
Filed under: uncultured bacterium
Lineage: Bacteria
Description: partial 16S ribosomal RNA
Rfam family: Bacterial small subunit ribosomal RNA
Source: RNAcentral
GACGAACGCUGGCGGCGUGCCUAAUACAUGCAAGUUGAGCGCUUAAGGUGGGUACGUGUCCCAACUGGAUGAGCAGCGAACGGGUGAGGAACGCGUGGGUAAUCUGCCGUUGAGGGGGGGACAACAUUUGGAAACGAAUGCUAAUACCGCAUAAGAACGUUAAACAGAAGUUUUAAGUUUGAAAGAUGCAAUUGCCUCACCCAAAGAUGAUCCCGCGGUGUGUUAGCUAGUUGGUGAGGUAAAGGCUCACCCAGGCGAUGAUACAUAGCCGACCUGAUAGGGUGGACGGCCACAUCGGGAACGAGACAACGCCCCAACCCCUACGGGAGGCAGCAGGAGGGGAACUUUGGAAAUGGAGGGAAGUCUGACCCCGCCCCGCCGGGGGAGUGCAGAAGGUUUUCGGAUCGUAAAACUCUGUUGGUAUGGAAGAACGUUGAUGAGGGUAGAACGCUCAUGAAGUGACGUUACCUACAGAGAAAGCGACGGCUAACUACGUG